Molecule: ribosomal RNA, 379 nt
Filed under: uncultured eukaryote
Lineage: Eukaryota
Description: partial 18S ribosomal RNA
Rfam family: Eukaryotic small subunit ribosomal RNA
Source: RNAcentral
CAAUAGCGUAUAUUAAAGUUGUUGCAGUUAAAAAGCUCGUAGUUGGAUUUCUGGUGGGAGCGAUCGGUCUGGCGCUUAGCGCGAGUACUUGCAUCGUCUCCGGCCAUCCUUGGGGAGAGUCUGUCUGGCAUUAGGUUGUCGGGCAGAGGAUCCUCAUCGUUUACUGUGAAAAAAUUAGAGUGUUCAAAGCAGGCUUUCGCUUGAAUACAUUAGCAUGGAAUAAUAAGAUAGGACUUUGGUGCUAUUUUGUUGGUUGAGCCUAAAGUAAUGAUUAAUAGGGAUAGUUGGGGGCACCUGUAUUGCGUUGUCAGAGGUGAAAUUCUUGGAUUUACGCAAGACAAACAGCUGCGAAAGCGUCUGCCAAGGAUGUUUUCAUUAA